GAACCGUUUUAGCUCACUCAAGAUAUCACUCAGGUCUAAGCAUUUAAUUAAUUUAUUUACUCGCUAUUAAUCAUCAAUUUUAUUAAUUUAGCCAAUCAAGCGCUAAAAACACAGCCACCACCCCUCCAAUCCAACCCCACCCCCUUUGGCAGCGAUGUCACAUUUUACUAUCCCCACUUUGACACGUGUCACACUAGACUCUUGACAAGAGUACACUCCCUCCAUCUAUCGUGGCAAACAUCCGUUGACCCCCCCCCCUUCCGGGAGCGGCUGGUCACUUCAAAGUACCCAUUCAACUUAACGCCUCGGGCAACGCUAUUCGUCUAGCACUAGCCAUUAUCAAGGUAUAAUCUCCCUUGAUUUUGGCCGAGCUCCGAUAAUCUCCCCUUCAUAAUCCACCUGGCCACCUGGGCUGAUUUCCUGGGCUUUCAACUCGCGCCUUCGCGCAAUGUCUAUCUCCCGGAAACUCUCGUCACGGUCAAGCGUGGACCCCCAUUGUCAAAGACGUCAGAUAGUCUAGACCACCUCUGCACCUAUCUCCCGCCACUCACCCCCCCCCCCUUUUCUAUCCACGUGUAUAUGGACAAACUUCAUCGUCCGAUCUCAUUCACGCUGGAGAGCCCACAGGGAGCACAUCUAACUCUUGCUUGAGCUCUAGACUAUUUUCAUUCCCUUAUUUCACUUUGGAUUGGUGGUAUGUAACUUAGUAAAGUGCUUGAGAACCAUUUUACUUAGUAAUGUAUAUAUGUAUAUUUGUGCAUUUAUUACUACAUUACUUGUGUAUAUAUUUGUGCAUUCUUAUCAUGGAUAAUGUAAGUAGAUUACUGUAUACUUAUAUUUUAUAUCAUGACUUUUGUGGCUAAAUGUUCAAACCAGCUGGACUAGAGUUUAUUAACAAUUCUUACCAGAUGUAUUUAGCUCUUUAACUAUUAUUAAUUUAACUCUGAUAUAUUAGCGCUCAGCACGAGCCUUCAACGUAGUAUCAUUGAUUAAUUCCUUGGCAGGGAAUUAUCCAAACAUUUAUGUAAACAUGUCUUAUUACUGAGUAUGUAUUUACUUAUGCUCUAUGUUUACUUAUGUGAGAGCAUGGGCGAGUAUCAGACGUUGAUCUCCCCUUCCCCUUUCAUCUCAUUUAUCUAAGCGAUAUAGGUACUUGCUACUCACCGUGAUUGGUGAACGACACUUGUAUUACUUAUCAUAUAUCACUUAUUAUUGUUUGUUAUUUCCCUUUAUGGGAGUCCCCAUUAUUAUUGUUAUCUCCCUUGAUGGGACACUAUAUUCAUUUGUUAGUUCCCUUUGAUAUUUAUGAAACUAGCUUAUAGUUUCUAUACAUCAGUCUGAAGAUGUCCUUCACGGAAAGGCAUCUACCUCCCAGUGUUAUCAUUAUGGCUAAACCGACGCAUACAUCAUAUCGUUGCAGCUUUUAUCUAUAGGCUACAUCCGCCUGAAAUCUUAGCAACCUAAAGCUGAUAGCAGAUUUGCUGGCACCAGAUCUGUAGACAUCAGACCUACUCAUCCUUCAAGAGUCCAAGUAACAACGCUAGCCACAGACUCGUCACUGGCUUAACUGAUUGGUAGACGCAGCUUAGCUCUGCAACCAUACAAGUUGGACUGCACACGGAGCCUGGAUCCACUACGCCAGCCCACUAGCAGACAGCAUCAGUACCAGCCACACCCGUCUCACCAGUGCAGCACAAGGACCAAAAGCUAAGCAACCAGCCUAAUGACACUCAGACCACUUGGUUCUAAUAUCUGAUGAUGAUAGUCCUAUAUAUGUAAAUAAGCUAGAUCCCAUACUAGCAACUGUACAGCAUUUCACCUUUCAUUAUCUUAUUUUGUAUAAUAAACUGUACAUAAGUUUACAUCUAAAUAUAGUAUUUGUUGCCUGCAUUAUAACGCUGUGCUUGUAGUUUAUAUGUGCAAGUAAGGAUUCUCAAACCAUAAAAAUCCCCUAGACACCCAAAACGGCUAAAUCUUAAUCCGACUUGUCACAAUGGCGAGCCUCGUCCGGGAUUUACCCAACUAAUACUGCAAGCACAGCAGGCAACUCCCCAGUAUUUUAACUAUCAUCAUUGUUAGAGUACAAGUCUAUCGAGUGUCAUUUAGAGCUAUUUAAUUUUCUAAUUUUGUAUUGCUGUAAUUGUACUUCAUUUACAGGUUCUUAAGCACCAAACAAAGGUUAAUACCACCUUUCCUGUAACUCUUAAGUAAUUGCUUUCAGCAGCUCCAUCAUCGUCUCCACCUCUUACUCUACCUUCCGCCUUUCCCCUUCAUCACCCACCCUCACAAUCCUAGCACCCCUCACCAUCAUGGCCAGUGGCACACGCUCCAAAGCGGACUCUGACAUGAAACAAAUAAUAGCUGAACUCAGAGAACUCGCGGCCGUCAUGUAUGACGAUGAGGCAGAGCAGAAAGAAUUUGUGAGGGCACAAAUUGAUAAGGAGAUGGAAGAAAGAAGAAAGGAGAAGGAAAGGAGACAUGAAAUAGCUAUGGAAAGAAAGAGAAGGGAAAUAGAAGUAGCCAUAGCCAAAGAGAAGGAAAUACUAGAAAUCAGAGAUAGCUAUAGGCCGCAGAGUUUGGAGCUGAACAGCACAUUCGCAAGACAAGACCAGGAAGCAGAGGAGAGUAAGACCAUGGCUCAUGUCCCAACUGGGCACACUGCCCAAACGGACACAGAAGUUACUGCUAAGGAUGAAACAUUCAUGCCUGAUACCCCUCCUCUCAACAAUACCACGUUGUCUACUCAGCCCGACCCUCCUGCUCAGUCUAAUAGUCUCUGCGAUGCCCCAAUUCAGCCAAUGCCCUCGAGCAAAACCCCACCUAAAAAAGCACCAAUCCAACAACCAGCCACGCACGAAAACUGUAAUCGCCCAGCAUGUAAGCCUCGUCAUAACCAGAACGAAGCCCACCGUGACUGUAACAACAGCACGCGUGGCAACAAACCUAGCCAAGCCUACCAUGACUGCAACAACAGCAUGAGUAGCCGCAAAUCUAACCGCAACCGCCAAAAGCAGCAGGCCCCACAGACCAUUUCAGUAAUGACCUCGGUCCUCAAACCCUCUGUGACUAAUCAGCAAACACAGACUGAUAGAACAGCGGGCGACCCAUACGUCAUAUCAACACUGACUGUGGCCCCUGAACCCACUUCUCUUGGCCUAACGGAAACGGAAGUCCUACCGUUACUUCCUCAACCUGUCUCAUCUCCCCCUGGGAUUGAGACCAUUCUGGUAAAUGGGCGGUACGUCCGAUCCUUAUUUGACACAGGCUGUGCGGUAAGUUCAGUUAUCCGCAAAGCACUGGUUGACCCAGCUGAUCUCACAGAUAGAACUGUGACGAUUCAGUCCAUUGACCGUGAGAUCCCUCCAAAGGUUCUUCCUAUUGCUAGGGUCCACGUAGAGUGCAAGUACGUGCAUGGUACCAUUGAGGCAGUUGUCAUGGAAUCGCCAGUGUAUGACUUCAUUCUAGGCUCCAGGUACAUACCUCUAGGAGUUGUCAAUAAACCAUACUUCUCUCUGCCCGUUGGUAGAACGACAAAGCAGAAAGGUGGCAGCAACCAGCCGGUUGGAAGCCCUGGUCGCCACUCUAACAAAUCCUUUACUGGCUCCUCAGCCAAGCUCAAGCCGCUCCACCCAGGCACUGACACUGCCAGGAAGUCACGAGGUAAGCAUAAUAACUACACUCGUGAGGGUUCGUUUAGCCCCCGCUCCUCAGCAAUCAAACCGCUCAACCCUGACACUGGCACUGCUAGGAAGUCACGAGGUAAGCGAAAUACCUACACUCGUGAGAGUUCUUGUAACUCCCGCUCUUCAGCUAUCAAACCACUAAUGCCUGUCACUGAUCCUGCCAGGAAGUCACAGAGGAAAGUGAACUUUCACUCUCGUGAAAGUGGGCCUCAUCACGGCUCCACCCACACUUUAAGGCCACUCUUCCCUGACAUUGACCGUGUCUGGAAAAUUAGAGGUAAGCCGAUCAAUCGCACUCACGAAGAAACGCCUCACUAUGGCUUUAGAGAUAAGCCCCGUCCAACAUACGCGCAUUGGGCCCUCCGCCAUAACGUCCAUCCCUCUUACUGGUCUGCCCCAAGAAGGAGAUGUACCCAGUCCUAUCUACCCGGCCUAUUUCCCCAGGUUUCCAGAAUUGCCCCUUCCACGUGGCAAUCCGCCUGCGGACAGAACAUAGGCGACAGCGGACCCUUAGGACGGACACCCAUCUGGACCUUGGCAACCUCUUAACUACUGGAAAAAUUUUCUUAAAUGCUACGACCGACAGUAGACGAAACUUGAGUGAUAUCAACGUUAGCACUUUAUAGAUCUUUUAACAAAGACCUAUCUUACGCAGGGAGGGUUGUGACGAACCGUUUUAGCUCACUCAAGAUAUCACUCAGGUCUAAGCAUUUAAUUAAUUUAUUUACUCGCUAUUAAUCAUCAAUUUUAUUAAUUUAGCCAAUCAAGCGCUAAAAACACAGCCACCACCCCUCCAAUCCAACCCCACCCCCUUUGGCAGCGAUGUCACAUUUUACUAUCCCCACUUUGACACGUGUCACACUAGACUCUUGACAAGAGUACACUCCCUCCAUCUAUCGUGGCAAACAUCCGUUGACCCCCCCCCCUUCCGGGAGCGGCUGGUCACUUCAAAGUACCCAUUCAACUUAACGCCUCGGGCAACGCUAUUCGUCUAGCACUAGCCAUUAUCAAGGUAUAAUCUCCCUUGAUUUUGGCCGAGCUCCGAUAAUCUCCCCUUCAUAAUCCACCUGGCCACCUGGGCUGAUUUCCUGGGCUUUCAACUCGCGCCUUCGCGCAAUGUCUAUCUCCCGGAAACUCUCGUCACGGUCAAGCGUGGACCCCCAUUGUCAAAGACGUCAGAUAGUCUAGACCACCUCUGCACCUAUCUCCCGCCACUCACCCCCCCCCUUUUCUAUCCACGUGUAUAUGGACAAACUUCAUCGUCCGAUCUCAUUCACGCUGGAGAGCCCACAGGGAGCACAUCUAACUCUUGCUUGAGCUCUAGACUAUUUUCAUUCCCUUAUUUCACUUUGGAUUGGUGCUUUUAUCUAUAGGCUACAUCCGCCUGAAAUCUUAGCAACCUAAAGCUGAUAGCAGAUUUGCUGGCACCAGAUCUGUAGACAUCAGACCUACUCAUCCUUCAAGAGUCCAAGUAACAACGCUAGCCACAGACUCGUCACUGGCUUAACUGAUUGGUAGACGCAGCUUAGCUCUGCAACCAUACAAGUUGGACUGCACACGGAGCCUGGAUCCACUACGCCAGCCCACUAGCAGACAGCAUCAGUACCAGCCACACCCGUCUCACCAGUGCAGCACAAGGACCAAAAGCUAAGCAACCAGCCUAAUGACACUCAGACCACUUGGUUCUAAUAUCUGAUGAUGAUAGUCCUAUAUAUGUAAAUAAGCUAGAUCCCAUACUAGCAACUGUACAGCAUUUCACCUUUCAUUAUCUUAUUUUGUAUAAUAAACUGUACAUAAGUUUACAUCUAAAUAUAGUAUUUGUUGCCUGCAUUAUAACGCUGUGCUUGUAGUUUAUAUGUGCAAGUAAGGAUUCUCAAACCAUAAAAAUCCCCUAGACACCCAAAACGGCCAAAUCUUAAUCCGACUUGUCA
This is an RNA transcript of Biomphalaria glabrata, 5614 nucleotides long. RefSeq lists it as uncharacterized. The record is from RefSeq and is a predicted model, not a curated record. The transcript is spliced from 2 exons. Lineage: Eukaryota; Metazoa; Mollusca; Gastropoda; Planorbidae.